AUCGCUUCUCGGCCUUUUGGCUAAGAUCAAGUGUAGUAUACCUGUAAUAAACAUUUUACUAGCUUGACAAUUUGAAACAAAUCACAAGUAAAGCAACCAGAUCCUGAAGUCAUUUUUUUAAAUUAAUUUAUUGACUGUGUUUUCAAUUUCU
This 151-nucleotide small nuclear RNA is filed under the name Lynx canadensis (Canada lynx). RNAcentral's name for it is "U2 spliceosomal RNA (ENSLCNG00005013606.1)". It matches the Rfam family "U2 spliceosomal RNA", at positions 1 to 125 of the family's 192-position model. From Rfam's summary of the family: U2 is a small nuclear RNA (snRNA) component of the spliceosome (involved in pre-mRNA splicing). Complementary binding between U2 snRNA (in an area lying towards the 5' end but 3' to hairpin I) and the branchpoint sequence (BPS) of the intron results the bulging out of an unpaired adenosine, on the BPS, which initiates a nucleophilic attack at the intronic 5' splice site, thus starting the first of two transesterification reactions that mediate splicing. Lineage: Eukaryota; Metazoa; Chordata; Mammalia; Carnivora; Felidae. The record is from Rfam by way of RNAcentral.